This 403-nucleotide ribosomal RNA is filed under the name bacterium. RNAcentral describes it as "partial 16S ribosomal RNA". It matches the Rfam family "Bacterial small subunit ribosomal RNA", at positions 355 to 776 of the family's 1533-position model. The record is from RNAcentral.
UGGGGAAUAUUGCACAAUGGAGGGAACUCUGAUGCAGCGACGCCGCGUGAACGAAGAAGGCUUUCGAGUCGUAAAGUUCUUUUAUAUGGGAAGAUAAUGACGGUACCAUAAGAAAAAGCCCCGGCUAACUACGUGCCAGCAGCCGCGGUAAUACGUAGGGGGCUAGCGUUGUCCGGAAUCACUGGGCGUAAAGGGUUCGCAGGCGGAAAUGCAAGUCAGGUGUAAAAGGCAGUAGCUUAACUACUGUAAGCAUUUGAAACUGCAUAUCUUGAGAAGAGUAGAGGUAACUGGAAUUUUUAGUGUAGCGGUGAAAUGCGUAGAUAUUAAAAAGAAUACCGGUGGCGAAGGCGACUUACUGGGCUCAUUCUGACGCUGAGGAACGAAAGCGUGGGUAGCAAACAGG